RNAcentral lists this unclassified non-coding RNA (135 nucleotides) under uncultured Sporidiobolales. RNAcentral describes it as "sequence contains ITS1". The record is from RNAcentral. Lineage: Eukaryota; Fungi; Basidiomycota; Microbotryomycetes; Sporidiobolales.
AUGAAAUACAAGGACGCUCUUUUUAGAGGUCCGACCUUUCAUUUUCCUUACACUGUGAACUAAAUUUUUACACCAUUUUUAAACGCAUGAGUCUAAGAAUGUCAAAAGUCUCUUAAUUGAGCAUAAAACUUGUAA